RNAcentral lists this ribosomal RNA (586 nucleotides) under uncultured bacterium. RNAcentral describes it as "partial 16S ribosomal RNA". It matches the Rfam family "Bacterial small subunit ribosomal RNA", at positions 355 to 1363 of the family's 1533-position model. The record is from RNAcentral.
UGGGGAAUUUUGGACAAUGGGCGAAAGCCUGAUCCAGCAAUGCCGCGUGUGUGAAGAAGGCCUUCGGGUUGUAAAGCACUUUUGUCCGGAAAGAAAUCCUUGGCUCUAAUACAGUCGGGGGAUGACGGUACCGGAAGAAUAAGCACCGGCUAACUACGUGCCAGCAGCCGCGGUAAUACGUAGGGUGCAAGCGUUAAUCGGAAUUACUGGGCGUAAAGCGUGCGCAGGCGGUUUGCUAAGACCGAUGUGAAAUCCCCGGGCUCAACCUGGGAACUGCAUUGGUGACUGGCAGGCUAGAGUAUGGCAGAGGGGGGUAGAAUUCCACGUGUAGCAGUGAAAUGCGUAGAGAUGUGGAGGAAUACCGAUGGCGAAGGCAGCCCCCUGGGCCAAUACUGACGCUCAUGCACGAAAGCGUGGGGAGCAAACAGGAUUAGAUACCCUGGUAGUCCACGCCCUAAACGAUGUCAACUAGUUGUUGGGGAUUCAUUUCCUUAGUAACGUAGCUAACGCGUGAAGUUGACCGCCUGGGGAGUACGGUCGCAAGAUUAAAACUCAAAGGAAUUGACGGGGUCAUAGCUGUUUCCUU